UAAYGACUCUCGGCAACGGAUAUCUCGGCUCYCGCAUCGAUGAAGAACGUAGCGAAAUGCGAUACUUGGUGUGAAUUGCAGAAUCCCGUGAACCAUCGAGUCUUUGAACGCAAGUUGCGCCCUAAGCCGUUAGGCCGAGGGCACGUCUGCCUGGGUGUCACG
RNAcentral lists this ribosomal RNA (162 nucleotides) under Bosistoa transversa. RNAcentral's name for it is "5.8S ribosomal RNA". Lineage: Eukaryota; Viridiplantae; Streptophyta; Magnoliopsida; Sapindales; Rutaceae. The record is from RNAcentral.